This 77-nucleotide transfer RNA is filed under the name Candidatus Acetothermia bacterium. RNAcentral's name for it is "tRNA-Arg". It matches the Rfam family "tRNA". From Rfam's summary of the family: Transfer RNA (tRNA) molecules are approximately 80 nucleotides in length. Their secondary structure includes four short double-helical elements and three loops (D, anti-codon, and T loops). Lineage: Bacteria; Candidatus Bipolaricaulota. The record is from RNAcentral.
GCGCCCGUAGCUCAGUGGAUUAGAGCGUUGGCCUCCGGAGCCAAAGGUCGAAGGUUCAAGUCCUUCCGGGCGUACCA